GUCAACAGCUGUACCACCUCCAGGUCAGGCUUGGUAAUCCAUGGGUAGCUAAGCAGAUUUGGGCCUGGCCAGUACCUAGACGGGAGACCAACUAAGAAAGCUGUGGUCAGCUGCUGGGA
RNAcentral lists this ribosomal RNA (119 nucleotides) under Paramormyrops kingsleyae. Lineage: Eukaryota; Metazoa; Chordata; Actinopteri; Osteoglossiformes; Mormyridae. The record is from RNAcentral.